ACUAGUAACUUAAUAAUUAUUAUAAGUUAAAAUGGUAAAUUUGGUCGAUCAUUAAUAACUUAUCUAAUUAAAUAAAUCGUAAAGAUGGAAUUUCGAUAAUCUACAAAAUUGUUCUACUCAUAAUUCUACCCCGUGUCAAAAUACAAGUCUUUAAGUUUAGAACUAUUUGUUAUGGAAACCGGAAGAGAAGAGACCUCGAGGCUGACCAAGGAAAAGGCGGAUGUAGAAGAUCUUAAAGCUUUAGGAGUGGAAGAAUGGAAGGAAAUUGUUCAUGAUUGAGAGCGACGGAGAGAUAUAGUGAUGGCGGUACAAACUCUAAUAGAGUAUAUAACUUUGAUCAAUUACAAUUAAUGGUAUUUGAAAUAUUAUUUUAAAACAAAAUUUUUUUUAAAUAAAAAUAAUAAUAAAAUUGUAUUUAUUAA
Molecule: long non-coding RNA, 422 nt
Organism: Adelges cooleyi (spruce gall adelgid)
Lineage: Eukaryota; Metazoa; Arthropoda; Insecta; Hemiptera; Adelgidae
Exons: 2
Source: RefSeq, a predicted model, not a curated record